UACCAAGGUAGCCGUAGGGGAACCUGCGGCUGGAUCACCUCCUUAAUCGACGACUCAGCUGCGCCAUAAGCACCCACACGAAUUGCUUGAUUCAUUGAAGAAGACGAUUAGAAGCAGCGCCCGAGUUCGGGUCUGUAGCUCAGUUGGUUAGAGCGCACCCCUGAUAAGGGUGAGGUCGGCAGUUCGAAUCUGCCCAGACCCACCAGUUUACUGGUGAGAUAGCUGGUCAGAGUAGACGCCUCCACGGUAUGUAGAAAUACGGGGCCAUAGCUCAGCUGGGAGAGCGCCUGCCUUGCACGCAGGAGGUCAGCGGUUCGAUCCCGCUUGGCUCCACCACUUACUGCUUCUGUUUGAAAGCUUAGAAAUGAGCAUUCCAUUGAUCCUGACGAUCAGUGCAUGAAUGUUGAUUUCUAGUCUUUGAUUAGAUCGUUCUUUAAAAAUUUGGGUAUGUGAUAGAAAGAAAUAGACCGGGCACCUCUUUCACUGGUGUGUGUCCGGGCUAAGGUAAAGUUUGUGAAAUGCAAACUUUCGGCGAAUGUCGUCUUCACAGUAUAACCAGAUUGCUUGGGGUUAUAUGGUCAAGUGAAGAAGCGCAUACGGUGGAUGCCUUGGC
This 613-nucleotide transfer RNA is filed under the name Pseudomonas amygdali pv. tabaci. RNAcentral describes it as "partial 16S-23S ribosomal RNA intergenic spacer". The stretch from base 129 to 202 matches the Rfam family "tRNA". Lineage: Bacteria; Pseudomonadati; Pseudomonadota; Gammaproteobacteria; Pseudomonadales; Pseudomonadaceae. The record is from RNAcentral.